GUAAUGAAUUGUUUUUAUACCACUCCAGGUGGCGUUCUACAUGUAAACAUUAAAUUUAUUACUCAAUGGACUAGAAAGGAGACUUUACAAUUAAUAACAAAUCUUAUGACAGACAAGCGUAUAUUUAAAUUGGACCUCAUUGGAAAUGGGCUGGACUCCGGCCUAAUGGGCGUUCCUGAUGCUCGCAAUGUAGACAAAGAAGCCACAACUAUCAGGAAAGAAUGUCCGGACUGAAAGGGCAACAGAACUUACCAAUUAUUCAUAGAUAGCCAUAAAUUGUGUCACUCAUCAAGCUUCUGGAUAUAAAAUUAAUUAAAAU
Long non-coding RNA from Anneissia japonica, 319 nucleotides. RefSeq lists it as uncharacterized. The transcript is spliced from 3 exons. The record is from RefSeq and is a predicted model, not a curated record. Lineage: Eukaryota; Metazoa; Echinodermata; Crinoidea; Comatulida; Comatulidae.